GAUCAUGGCUCAGGAUGAACGCUAGCGAUAGGCUUAACACAUGCAAGUCGAGGGGCAGCAUGGUCUUAGCUUGCUAAGGCUGAUGGCGACCGGCGCACGGGUGCGUAACGCGUAUGCAACUUGCCUCACAGAGGGGGAUAACCCGUCGAAAGACGGACUAAUACCGCGUACACCCCAGCUUGGGCAUCCAAGCUAGAGGAAAUGAAUUUCGCUGUGAGAUAGGC
This 224-nucleotide ribosomal RNA is filed under the name uncultured bacterium. Its description in RNAcentral is "partial 16S ribosomal RNA". It matches the Rfam family "Bacterial small subunit ribosomal RNA", at positions 15 to 230 of the family's 1533-position model. The record is from RNAcentral.